Molecule: ribosomal RNA, 755 nt
Filed under: uncultured Thermaceae bacterium
Lineage: Bacteria; Thermotogati; Deinococcota; Deinococci; Thermales; Thermaceae
Description: bacterial SSU rRNA
Rfam family: Bacterial small subunit ribosomal RNA
Source: RNAcentral
UGUAGGCGGUCUUUCAAGUCCGAUGCUAAAGACUGGGGCUCAACCCCAGGGGUGCGUUGGAUACUGUGAGGCUAGACGGUCGGAGGGGGUAGCGGAAUUUCCGGAGUAGCGGUGAAAUGCGCAGAUACCGGAAGGAACGCCAAUAGCGAAGGCAGCUACCUGGACGACUUGUGACGCUGAGGCGCGAAAGCGUGGGGAGCAAACCGGAUUAGAUACCCGGGUAGUCCACGCCCUAAACCAUGAGUGCUGGGUGUCCGGCUUCUGCUGGGUGCCGUAGCUAACGCGCUAAGCACUCCGCCUGGGAAGUACGCACGCAAGUGUGAAACUCAAAGGAAUUGACGGGGGCCCGCACAAGCGGUGGAGCAUGUGGUUUAAUUCGAAGCGACGCGAAGAACCUUACCAGGCCUUGACAUGCCCGGAACCCCUCUGAAAGGAGGGGGUGCCCGCAAGGGAGCCGGGACACAGGUGCUGCAUGGCCGUCGUCAGCUCGUGUCGUGAGAUGUUGGGUUAAGUCCCGCAACGAGCGCAACCCCUAUCCCUAGUUGCCAGCAGUUCGGCUGGGCACUCUAUGGAGACUGCCUGCGAAAGCAGGAGGAAGGCGGGGAUUCACGUCUGGUCCGCAUGGCCCUUACGGCCUGGGCGACACACGUGCUACAAUGCCAAGGACAGAGCGCUGCUACCUCGCGAGAGGACGCCAAUCGCAAAAACCUUGGCUCAGUUCGGAUUGGAGUCUGCAACUCGACUCCAUGAAGCCG